RNAcentral lists this ribosomal RNA (301 nucleotides) under uncultured bacterium. RNAcentral describes it as "partial 16S ribosomal RNA". It matches the Rfam family "Bacterial small subunit ribosomal RNA", at positions 509 to 807 of the family's 1533-position model. The record is from RNAcentral.
CAGCCGCCACGGUAAUACGGAGGAUCCAAGCGUUAUCCGGAAUCAUUGGGUUUAAAGGGUCCGUAGGCGGUCUUGUAAGUCAGUGGUGAAAGCCCAUCGCUCAACGGUGGAACGGCCAUUGAUACUGCAGGACUUGAAUUAUUGGAAAGUAACUAGAAUAUGUAGUGUAGCGGUGAAAUGCUUAGAGAUUACAUGGAAUACCAAUUGCGAAGGCAGGUUACUACCAAUUGAUUGACGCUGAUGGACGAAAGCGUGGGUAGCGAACAGGAUUAGAUACCCCCGUAGUCCCUGUCUCUUAUAC